This 1291-nucleotide long non-coding RNA is filed under the name Homo sapiens (human). RNAcentral's name for it is "HSALNT0393004". The record is from RNAcentral. Lineage: Eukaryota; Metazoa; Chordata; Mammalia; Primates; Hominidae.
CCUAGGCAUCUUGGGCAGGUGACUGAACACUGGAGCCAGUGUCCCUGGGAGAUAGGGAAGUCCCUCCCCAUGAAGGGACCUAGGUUCUUUGUAUCCUCUCCUGUAGUCCUGGGCCAAUAACUGACUGCUUUAUGGAAAACACACACACACAAAACAAACAAACAAACAAAGAAACCACCUUGCAUUCAUGCCCCAAGACUGAGCAGACCCUGUGGUACAGUUUAUUCCCCAGAGGCCCCAUGGGAUCAAGCUGAAGCCCAGCUGCAUCGGAGACCACAUCCUUUUUCAUUUUUCUUUCCUCCCUUCCCAAUAUGGCUCCCACCGACCCCUACAUGUUUCUUGUGAGUGCACUCCAUUGAUAAAUGUCUUGCACAAACAUCCCCUUCUCAGGUUCUGCUCCAGGGAACUGUACCCAAGACACUACCAGCAUCUGUCCCUCAAUGCCACACACCUGUCAUCCCACACAUCAAAAGGAAUCCCACGUAAUAGGAUACAAGCACAACUGCAAACACACUCACUGCCCCCGCCCCCUCCAACAAGGAGACAAAUGAAAAGUCCAUCACUCAUCCAGAGAAGACUUUUUAGAGCCACUGUUCUUGGAGCCUGUUACCUCUGGAAACUGUUUGGAAACAGGCAAGGUGGAGGACUUCAGUGGAAGAAGGAAGGAACCCAGGCCCACCGGCAGCCCGGAGAAACUGCAACUGUAGCAGCAUUCCUUCCCCCCAGGAAUGUGACAAAGAUGAGCACCAUUCCAACACCUGUUGCUGAGGCACUUUCCAGGGGUCUAGCUGUGGAGGCCCCUACUCUUCUCUAGAGCAGGCACUUCAAUCUUCAGGCCAAAACUAAAAUGUCUGCAUGACCACACUGCCAGGUUGCCCAAGAUUGGCUGACUUUGUAUGCAUCCUGAUUAAAAAUGGCAUCUUGCUCUCUGGUCUGGGAAAAUGCUGUGGCUUUUCCCUGUGACUUUUCUUCACAGCGUCUCCAAACUUCUCCCCAAGUUAGUUCCAGGGCUUAGGAGAAAAAAAGUGCUCUCCCUCGGCCUGGGCUGCUCAGAUCCCCAGUGGAAAGGUGAAUCACAGAGGGAGCUUCUCUGCCUUUCUCACGCACUGGGAAUUCACUCACUUUUAUCUGCUGGAUGCUUGUAUGGGGGCUGUUGGGUUGCAUUUUCCUUCCUGGAAUCUGGGAUGUCCUUCAUGAUUCUGGUGGAAUCCUGUUUACCUUCUUGAAUUAAAGCUCACAGAAUUGAUCUUCAUGCUUUUCCAAAUGGCUGAGGCAUGGUAAAAACCUCUCU